RNAcentral lists this ribosomal RNA (301 nucleotides) under uncultured bacterium. Its description in RNAcentral is "partial 16S ribosomal RNA". It matches the Rfam family "Bacterial small subunit ribosomal RNA", at positions 509 to 807 of the family's 1533-position model. The record is from RNAcentral.
CAGCAGCCGCGGUAACACGAGGGGGGCAAGCGUUGUUCGGAAUUAUUGGGCGUAAAGGGUGCGUAGGCGGCUUGACAAGUCUUGUGUGAAAUCUAUGGGCUCAACCCAUAGUCUGCACGGGAAACUGUCGGGCUUGAGAAUGGGAGAGGUGAGUGGAAUUUCCGGUGUAGCGGUGAAAUGCGUAGAUAUCGGAAUGAACACCUGUGGCGAAAGCGGCUCACUGGACCAUUUCUGACGCUGAUGCACGAAAGCUAGGGGAGCAAACAGGAUUAGAUACCCCCGUAGUCCCUGUCUCUUAUAC